Molecule: long non-coding RNA, 838 nt
Filed under: Pan troglodytes (chimpanzee)
Lineage: Eukaryota; Metazoa; Chordata; Mammalia; Primates; Hominidae
Description: long non-coding RNA NONPTRT003119
Source: RNAcentral
UCAGGUUUUUGGACUUUACGAUGGCGUUUCGGAAGCAUUAAGCUCUCAGCAGAAGCCACACUCUGAAUUCCGAUCUUUUCCUGGGCUGGUGAUGGAUGCGCAGCACAGUGCCCUCCUGCAGUACUGAGCGGUGGCAGGGAGCAGCAGUCCCAGCCAGCUGUGCCAUCGCGAGGGGAAGUGGCCGGCAUGGAUCUUUUCUCCCCUAUAUCCGAGGUCUGAGUCCUUUGUCAGGACACACAGUGUGAUUUCUUGCCUGGCAUUCCGUUCCUUGCUUGUCCAUUUUCAAGAGCAGAACAUUUUCACGUUGAUGGAAGCCCGAUGUCUUUCUUCUACGGUAUGUGCUCUGCAUCCAAAGCAGCCUUCGCCCAUCCCACAUUUUAGAUAAUUUUUUCUUUUAAAAACUUCACUAAGCGCUCAUGUUUGGAUCUGCAAUCUAUUUUGGAUGAAUUCUUGUGUAUGACGUGCAGUAGGAAAAAAGGCUCAUGUCUUUCCAUACGGAUAGCCAGUUUCAUUCAGACACAGGUGGUGGCCAGACCUGGCACACGGAUGCAGCUGACCCUGGAAGCUGAAGGGCAGUGAAACCCAUCUGAUUAAGAUGCUCAACUUUUCUGAAGAAAAAGCUGACACCUGCCUAAGGUCACACCAUCAUGAGUGGCUGAGUUGGGCUGUGAUGAGCCACCCGGCUGGAGAGCUUGUGCCCUGGUUACACGAUUGCCAGUGAGAUGCCUAUGAACUCGCAUGUAGAGGUGGGUACCCAGACAGCUCAGAGUGAGCUGCCUGCGGGCCCAGCAUGCAGAGGUGUGUACUCAGUGCUGUGUGAGAUGCCUGUGGGCCCAGG